UACGGGGGGAGCAAGCGUUGUUCGGAUUUACUGGGCGUAAAGGGCGCGUAGGCGGCCACCGCAAGUCGACUGUGAAAUCUCCGGGCUUAACCCGGAAAGGUCAGCCGAUACUGCGGGGCUAGAGUGCAGAAGGGGCAACUGGAAUUCUCGGUGUAGCGGUGAAAUGCGUAGAUAUCGAGAGGAACACCUGCGGCGAAGGCGGGUUGCUGGGCCGACACUGACGCUGAAGCGCGAAAGCUAGGGGAGCGAACGGG
RNAcentral lists this ribosomal RNA (254 nucleotides) under uncultured bacterium. RNAcentral's name for it is "partial 16S ribosomal RNA". It matches the Rfam family "Bacterial small subunit ribosomal RNA", at positions 524 to 776 of the family's 1533-position model. The record is from RNAcentral.